Molecule: ribosomal RNA, 460 nt
Filed under: uncultured bacterium
Lineage: Bacteria
Description: partial 16S ribosomal RNA
Rfam family: Bacterial small subunit ribosomal RNA
Source: RNAcentral
CCUACGGGUGGCAGCAGUGAGGAAUAUUGGUCAAUGGGCGAAAGCCUGAACCAGCCAUGCAGCGUGCAGGAAGACGGCUCUAUGAGUUGUAAACUGCUUUUGUACGAGGGUAAAAACAGAUACGUGUAUCUGCUUGAAAGUAUCGUAUGAAUAAGGAUCGGCUAAUUCCGUGCCAGCAGCCGCGGUAAUACGGAGGAUCCAAGCGUUAUCCGGAUUUAUUGGGUUUAAAGGGUGCGUAGGCGGUUUAGUAAGCCAGCCGUGAAAUUGUGGGGCUCAACCCCAAACGUGCCGUUGGUACUGGUGGUCUGGAGUGCAGUUGCGGUAGGCGGAAUGCGUGGUGUAGCGGUGAAAUGCUUAGAGAUCAUACAGAACACCGAUUGCGAAGGCAGCUUACGAAACUGUAUCUGACGUUGAAGCACGAAGGCGUGGGUAUCAAACAGGAUUAGAUACCCUUGUAGUC